Molecule: ribosomal RNA, 372 nt
Filed under: uncultured bacterium
Lineage: Bacteria
Description: bacterial SSU rRNA
Rfam family: Bacterial small subunit ribosomal RNA
Source: RNAcentral
UACGGAGGUGGCAAGCGUUACUCGGUUUGACUGGGUGUAAAGGGUCCGUAGGCGGCUAUAAAAGUGAAAGGUGAAAUCUUUCGGCUUAACCGAAAAACUGCCUUUCAAACUUUAUAGCUCGAGGAUGGAAGAGGAGAGCGGAACUGCCGGUGUAAAGGUGAAAUUUGUGGGUAUCGGUAGGAACGCCUGUGGAGAAGUCGGCUCUCUGGUCCAUUCCUGACGCUGAGGGACGAAAGCUAGGGGAGCAAACAGGAUUAGAUACCCUGGUAGUCCUAGCUGUAAACGAUGAGCACUAGGUGUUCGUCCGUAAGGAUGGGUGCCGUAGCUAACGCAUUAAGUGCCCCACCUGGGGACUACGGCCGCAAGGCUGAA